Leptidea sinapis is the source of this 783-nucleotide long non-coding RNA. RefSeq lists it as uncharacterized. The transcript is spliced from 6 exons. NCBI's taxonomy places the organism in Eukaryota, Metazoa, Arthropoda, Insecta, Lepidoptera, Pieridae. The record is from RefSeq and is a predicted model, not a curated record.
AUUUUGUCUAUUAAACGUCAUUAAUCCUGUCAAAUACCAAAUAAUAAUUUUGAUAAAAGAUUACUAGUGAAACUAAAAAAACAGAAAUUUUUAAAAUGUGCAGUCCAGUAUUAAAUUUACCAGACUAUAAGGAACCCAGACCUUGUAUGCCAUGCUAUCCAGUAUAUGGCCCACCAUGUCUACCGUGUGGGAUAGACCCGGUUACCCUGCGACGACCACUUAUUGUCCACGACAGCACCUUCGACUACCGUCCCACAAGCUGGCCGGGAAUGCUGCUCAACAACCAGGAUAAGAAAAUCAGAUACCAACUCAUCAACUACGAGCGACCGUGUACUUCCCACUAUCCAUCGUGUGCCCCGUCGUAUAACUAACAGCUUGUUAUCACAAUAUACUAAUGUAAAUACUUUUCACGAUGUGCAACAGAAUGGAUCUUAUAAAUAAACUGCAGUCGAUAGCUUCAGCAAUUCAGUGCGACCAGUGCUGCGGCCCUCCCUGCUGUCCACCUCGGCCGUCGUGCUGCGGAGCUGGUGGAUCCCUCGUCACUGUUUACAGUCAAGUAGCCCAUAUCCAGUGACGCGCUGAGUCGUGCUUCACCCUUUUUACUAUCGCUCAAUGCUAUACUCGCUGUCGGACAGCCUCCGCGGCCAGUUGCAGCGUUCGAUAAAGCUGUGAUAAAGAUUGGACAUUAAUCGCAAACAAGACCUACUUGAUUUGUUAUUUAUGUAAUUGUGAAGUGAGUUCUGUAACGUGAAAUUUUAGUGAUAAAAGUGUUGUUUUGGUCCU